RNAcentral lists this ribosomal RNA (429 nucleotides) under Chloroflexota bacterium. RNAcentral describes it as "Chloroflexi bacterium partial 16S ribosomal RNA". It matches the Rfam family "Bacterial small subunit ribosomal RNA", at positions 355 to 776 of the family's 1533-position model. Lineage: Bacteria; Bacillati; Chloroflexota. The record is from RNAcentral.
UGGGGAAUAUUGCACAAUGGGCGCAAGCCUGAUGCAGCCAUGCCGCGUGUAUGAAGAAGGCCUUCGGGUUGUAAAGUACUUUCAGUCGGGAGGAAGGUGGUAAGGUUAAUAACCUUAUCAAUUGACGUUACCGACAGAAGAAGCACCGGCUAACUCCGUGCCAGCAGCCGCGGUAAUACGGAGGGUGCAAGCGUUAAUCGGAAUUACUGGGCGUAAAGCGCACGCAGGCGGUUGAUUGAGUCAGAUGUGAAAUCCCCGGGCUUAACCCGGGAAUUGCAUCUGAUACUGGUCAGCUAGAGUCUUGUAGAGGGGGGUAGAAUUCCAUGUGUAGCGGUGAAAUGCGUAGAGAUGUGGAGGAAUACCGGUGGCAAAGGCGGCCCCCUGGACAAAGACUGACGCUCAGGUGCGAAAGCGUGGGGAGCAAACAGG